This is a long non-coding RNA of Branchiostoma belcheri (Belcher's lancelet), 389 nucleotides long. RefSeq lists it as uncharacterized. The transcript has 2 exons. The record is from RefSeq and is a predicted model, not a curated record. Lineage: Eukaryota; Metazoa; Chordata; Leptocardii; Amphioxiformes; Branchiostomatidae.
AGCCUGAAGUGGGACUCCAGCGCCUCCGCCUGGUGCAAGUCACGGCAAAUGAACUGCAGGGAGCUCAGGACCAGGCGGCUGAGGCAGAAGACUUUCAAUAGUUUAAUUAGACAUGGGUGAUUAAGUUCUUCGAUUCACUAAUACAAAGGAAUGUACCUGCCUACGUUUCAAUAACCCAUUUAGUAAGUUACUAAAUGGGUUAUUGAAACGUAGGCAGGUUAACAAGUUAAACUUGCUUAGGGCAAUGUUGAUUGGGCCAGCUCUGGUCGUUUUUCAGCUGAAAUUUAAUCUUAAAAUCUCAACAUCUUAAAAUGCUUUCUAAUUGCAGUAGUAAUACUAAACAACAAGAUGGAAUGGUGAUUAGGUUUUGAUACUAUUAAUCGUUAUUU